AUGCCUGGUGUAACAAUUAUGUGUAUGUGUAUAAUUUUGCAAAAACUUAUGUUCGGAGGGGGGAGAGAAGGGAAGAAAGCUAUUGAAGACUGUGAUUAAAUGCCCAAUGCUAGUCCCAAAGCGGGUAGACGCAGAUAAGGAGAGCAUCCACCAUGUCCUGAGCCAUCUCCUGAGCCAAGUGUUCUCCUUGGAGGGCUAACUGUCCUCCCUGCAAGGCCAGGUGUCCUCCCUGCAGGGCCUGGAGAGUGACUGGCAGGGCCAGAACGAGAAGGACCAGGAGCUGCUGACGAGCAUCCAGGUCAGAGCUGUCAAGCUGGAGAGGAUCGGUGAGGCCCUCACCUCGGUCACCAGGAGCCUCAUGGACAAGCUUCAGCAGACGGACGAAGAUCUCGAGGCUCUGUCCCUGUGCAUGGAGAGGCUGCAGGAGAAAGCGGACAAGGUGGACUGAGGGAGCCAGCUCAGGAUCACCUGCCCUUGUAGCGUCCCCAGCACCUCCUGCCCCUUCAACCCAGAGCCCUGAAGCUGCUCCAACCCCCCAGCAAGGCUUCCCGAGGGACAAGCCCAGAUUGUCCCCAAGGCAGAAGGACACAAGGACAGUGUCAGCCCACAAGGAUCACUCCCAGCCACUGAGCAUCCUUCCACCCCUCUUGAUCCCACGGGCCAGAUCCAUCACCUCAGCAGCCAGGCAAGAACAGAGUGUGCCCGGCCAAACCACCCCGUCCCUGCCAGUGAGGGAGAAGGCAGGAACCACAGCCCUGAGAAAAGGAAUUGUUUAACUGCU
This is a long non-coding RNA of Apus apus (common swift), 781 nucleotides long. RefSeq lists it as uncharacterized. The record is from RefSeq and is a predicted model, not a curated record. The transcript has 5 exons. Lineage: Eukaryota; Metazoa; Chordata; Aves; Apodiformes; Apodidae.